Molecule: ribosomal RNA, 440 nt
Filed under: uncultured bacterium
Lineage: Bacteria
Description: partial 16S ribosomal RNA
Rfam family: Bacterial small subunit ribosomal RNA
Source: RNAcentral
CCUACGGGUGGCAGCAGUGGGGAAUAUUGCACAAUGGGGGAAACCCUGAUGCAGCAACGCCGCGUGAGUGAAGAAGUAUUUCGGUAUGUAACGCUCUAGCAGCAGGGAAGAGAAUGACGGUACCUGACUAAGAAGCCCCGGCUAACUACGUGCCAGCAGCCGCGGUAAUACGUAGGGGGCGAGCGUUAUCCGGAUUUACUGGGUGGAAAGGGAGCGUCGACGGUUCUGCAAGGCUGAAGUGAAAGCCCGGGGCUUAACCGCGGAACGGCUUUGGAAACUGUGGAACUGGAGUGCUGGAGAGGCAAGCGGAAUUCCUAGUGUAGCGGUGAAAUGCGUAGAUAUUAGGAGGAACACCAGUGGCGAAGGCGGCUUGCUGGACAGUAACUGACGUUGAGGCUCGAAAGCGUGGGGAGCAAACAGGAUUAGAUACCCCUGUAGUC